CGAUGCAGCCUAGCUUGAUGGGUGGAUUAGUGGCGAACGGGUGAGUAACACGUGAGUAACCUGCCCUUGACUCUGGGAUAAGCCUGGGAAACUGGGUCUAAUACCGGAUACGACCAUUGCCCGCAUGGGUUGGUGGUGGAAAGCUUUUGUGGUUUUGGAUGGACUCGCGGCCUAUCAGCUUGUUGGUGAGGUAAUGGCUCACCAAGGCGACGACGGGUAGCCGGCCUGAGAGGGUGACCGGCCACACUGGGACUGAGACACGGCCCAGACUCCUACGGGAGGCAGCAGUGGGGAAUAUUGCACAAUGGGCGAAAGCCUGAUGCAGCGACGCCGCGUGAGGGAUGACGGCCUUCGGGUUGUAAACCUCUUUCAGUAGGGAAGAAGCGAGAGUGACGGUACCUGCAGAAGAAGCGCCGGCUAACUACGUGCCAGCAGCCGCGGUAAUACGUAGGGCGCAAGCGUUAUCCGGAAUUAUUGGGCGUAAAGAGCUCGUAGGCGGUUUGUCGCGUCUGCUGUGAAAGGCCAGGGC
RNAcentral lists this ribosomal RNA (529 nucleotides) under Arthrobacter woluwensis. Its description in RNAcentral is "bacterial SSU rRNA". It matches the Rfam family "Bacterial small subunit ribosomal RNA", at positions 67 to 608 of the family's 1533-position model. Lineage: Bacteria; Bacillati; Actinomycetota; Actinomycetes; Micrococcales; Micrococcaceae. The record is from RNAcentral.